CCCUUAGAUGGUCUGGGCGGCACGCGCGCUACAACGAUGCAUUCAAAAAGUCUUCUGACCUUAGAAGGUUGGGUAUUCUCCAAAGUGCAUCGUGAUGGGAAUAGUUUAUUGCAAUUUUUAAUCUUGAACGAGGAAUUCCUAGUAAGUACAGGUCAUCAACUUGUGUUGAUUACGUCCCUGCCCUUUGUACACACCGCCCGUCGCUCCUACUGAUUGAGUGUCUCGGUGAAUUCUUUGAUUUUCUGUCAAUUCAGUUCACUGAUCCGACGGUGGAAAGUUGACUGAACUUUGUCAUUUAGAGGAAGGAGAAGUCGUAACA
This 319-nucleotide ribosomal RNA is filed under the name uncultured eukaryote. RNAcentral describes it as "partial 18S ribosomal RNA". It matches the Rfam family "Eukaryotic small subunit ribosomal RNA", at positions 1470 to 1796 of the family's 1831-position model. The record is from RNAcentral.